UAUGUGAUCGUCUCUCGCAUAUCAAUAAGCGGAGGAAAAGAAACUAACAAGGAUUCCCCUAGUAACGGCGAGUGAAGCGGGAAGAGCUCAAAUUUGAAAUCUUAAAGGGUUUCCCUUUACGAAUUGUAGUUUAAAGAAGUGUUUUCUGUUGAGGUUUUGGUAAAAGUUCUUUGGAAUAGGACAUCAUAGAGGGUGAGAAUCCCGUAUUUGACCUUUACUUUCAACUUUGUGAUACACUUUCAAAGAGUCGGAUUGUUUGGGAAUGCAGUCCAAAAUGGGUGGUAAAUUUCAUCUAAAGCUAAAUAUUGGCGAGAGACCGAUAGCGAACAAGUACCGUGAGGGAAAGAUGAAAAGAACUUUGAAAAGAGAGUUAAACAGUACGUGAAAUUGUCAAAAGGGAAGCGUUUGACACCAGUGUUGUUUUUCUGAAAAUCAAUUAAAGAACUGUUUAUGCUAAGUUGUUUAGACUUUAUCAGCUAACUGUUUAGUUUUGAGCUUUUCUUUAAUGCACUUUUCAGUUAACAAGUCAACAUCAAUUUCUUUUGCUGUAAAAAAGCUUGAGGAAGGUGGCUUGAGAUUCGUCUUAAGUGUUUAUAGCCUCUUGCCUAUGCAGUCGGAGAGAUUGAGGUCUGCAGCGUAGAUCCUUCGGGGCUAAAUGCAUUUGUGCUAAGUUAUAGCAUUUUAUAGACAACUUGUUGACUAUGAUUUGUCUUGUAGCUUACUCGCAUUAUGUUAUUUUACCUACGCUUAGGAUGUUGAUCUACAGAGCGAGAGU
Molecule: ribosomal RNA, 775 nt
Filed under: uncultured Neocallimastigales
Lineage: Eukaryota; Fungi; Neocallimastigomycota; Neocallimastigomycetes; Neocallimastigales
Description: partial large subunit ribosomal RNA
Rfam family: Eukaryotic large subunit ribosomal RNA
Source: RNAcentral